Molecule: ribosomal RNA, 772 nt
Filed under: uncultured Neocallimastigales
Lineage: Eukaryota; Fungi; Neocallimastigomycota; Neocallimastigomycetes; Neocallimastigales
Description: partial large subunit ribosomal RNA
Rfam family: Eukaryotic large subunit ribosomal RNA
Source: RNAcentral
AUGUGAUCGUCUCUCGCAUAUCAAUAAGCGGAGGAAAAGAAACUAACUAGGAUUCCCUAGUAACGGCGAGUGAAGCGGGAAGAGCCCAAAUUUGAAAUCUUAAAGGGUUUCCCUUUACGAAUUGUAGUUUAAAGAAGUGUUUUCUGUUGAGGUUUUGGUAAAAGUUCUUUGGAAUAGGACAUCAUAGAGGGUGAGAAUCCCGUAUUUGACCUUUACUUUCAACUUUGUGAUACACUUUCAAAGAGUCGGAUUGUUUGGGAAUGCAGUCCAAAAUGGGUGGUAAAUUUCAUCUAAAGCUAAAUAUUGGCGAGAGACCGAUAGCGAACAAGUACCGUGAGGGAAAGAUGAAAAGAACUUUGAAAAGAGAGUUAAACAGUACGUGAAAUUGUCAAAAGGGAAGCGUUUGACACCAGUGUUGUUUUUCUGAAAAUCAAUUAAAGAACUGUUUAUGCUAAGUUGUUUAGACUUUAUCAGCUAACUGUUUAGUUUUGAGCUUUUCUUUAAUGCACUUUUCAGUUAACAAGUCAACAUCAAUUUCUUUUGCUGUAAAAAAGCUUGAGGAAGGUGGCUUGAGAUUCGUCUUAAGUGUUUAUAGCCUCUUGCCUAUGCAGUCGGAGAGAUUGAGGUCUGCAGCGUAGAUCCUUCGGGGCUAAAUGCAUUUGUGCUAAGUUAUAACAUUUUAUAGACAACUUGUUGACUAUGAUUUGUCUUGUAGCUUACUCGCUUAUGUUAUUUUACCUACGCUUAGGAUGUUGAGUAGCGACAUACGCAC